UACAGAGGUCUCAAGCGUUGUUCGGAUUCAUUGGGAGUAAAGGGUGCGUAGGCGGCGCGGUAAGUCGGGUGUGAAAUCUCGGAGCUUAACUCCGAAACAGCAUUCGAUACUGCCGUGCUUGAGGACUGGAGAGGAGACUGGAAUUUACGGUGUAGCGGUGAAAUGCGUAGAUAUCUGGAGGAACACCGGUGGCGAAGGCGGCAUCCUGGACCAAUACUGACACUGAAAAGCGAAAGCCAGGGGAGCAAACGGG
Molecule: ribosomal RNA, 253 nt
Filed under: uncultured bacterium
Lineage: Bacteria
Description: partial 16S ribosomal RNA
Rfam family: Bacterial small subunit ribosomal RNA
Source: RNAcentral